CCCCUGUCGGAUAGGAAAUCCCAAGUAAGGUACCUGCCAUCGGCAGAUUUGAGCUUUCUUCUUGGACACCUGAUACCCACAGUCCUCCAGGCUCCGGUAGAUUGCAAAUAACCUGCUUUCUUUCUGUUCCCGGGCUGCCUUCGGAACCCUGUGGGAGAGUAAAUCCCUAGUAAGGUACCUGCCGUUGACAGAUUUGAGCUUUCUUCUUGGACACCUAAUACCCACAGUCCUCCAGGUGUGAAAGAAAUACUCAAGUGACUGUGUUGCUGGUGGGAAAAAGCGUAUCAUUUCCUGGGGUCUUCAGGGUACAGUUGUGCUCAAAAUUAAACACUUCUAGGGAUUAUGCUGUGACCCUUUUAAUAUGUGCUUUUAAUUUUUUUCAUUUCUUAAUACUCUUUUUUCUAUACUCAAUGGUGCAAGCUUCUGGUUUUCUACUGGCUCCUUAUUUAAGAAUGUGAAAACAUCCAGAUAUUUGAGAGGGUAGAAGUGGAAAUUAGGAAUGCCUAAACAAACUCUAAAAGAAGAAUUUUAGCAGUAUUAAUUUAUUGGCUUUAUCAAUUAAUUGGUAUUAUGGCUACUAUCCUAACUACUUGAAUCCCUACUUGGUCAAUAACAAAUAUUAUGAAAAUAUCUAAGCUUUUCUUCUGGCCUAUAAAAUUUAAAAAAUUAGCAAAACAUAUCACGUUGAAGACAUUCAUUUUUCACAGAGAGCAGUGAAGGCAUUUCUCUAUUUCCUUUCCCCCAUCCUACCCUAGGAUUGCUCUGCAGUAUUCAUGUGUUAGUAUAGGUCAACAAAAAGCACUAUACUUGUGUUCACCUGUUUAAAAUGAUGUUAAUACACUUAAUGCUAUAAAAAAAAAAAACCAAAAAGGUUCGAUAGGUACAUUCACCCUCAUGAAGAAGUUGUUUAGGUGCAACACUGUAAACAAAAUCUAAAUAAAUGCAACAAUUUUCAUCUUAGCAGAUUGGUGAAAAAUGUUAUUCUUUUGAUUAUAGUUACUUUUGUCCCUGUGCCUUGAACACACUGAACAGCAUCUUACUCUAUAAACUGCUAGCCCUUAAUGUGGUGGUCUAAAUUUUAUUUUUUCUUUUUUAUUGCUAACUGAUUAUUACUAUCAUUGAGGAAAGUUAUUGGUUUCUACAUAUUUAUUAUGUAUUCUGCUAUGAUAUAUAAUGUCUUAUAAAUUUUAAAUAUGAGUAAUAGCUUUUCUUC
Molecule: long non-coding RNA, 1213 nt
Filed under: Homo sapiens (human)
Lineage: Eukaryota; Metazoa; Chordata; Mammalia; Primates; Hominidae
Description: HSALNT0374311
Source: RNAcentral